ACGUGAAGGUGAUUGGAAGAAAAACAAGAUACAAGACUAUUUAAGUAACGUCAAAGUUUUGUUUAUAUGACGAUCACUGAUGGUGGUAUGCGUGUCGCAUUGAAAUUAUACUAAACCACAGACAUAUCAAUUUCCAUAUUCCGAGUUGAUAAGGAAGUAAUUUUGAAAUAAUAGGAUGACAUUUACAAAGAAAGCAAUGCAUUAAAAAUAUUUUUAAAUGCAGUUAUUGUGGUUAUUACAUUUGAGCGACAAAACAGAUUGUGACAAGUAUAUCUACAAGCAUCAUGAACAUUAUAUAAAUGUCCAAUGGAAAUGAAACUUUGCCUUACAUUGUUUUAUCAUAUGAAAGGACGAAAAGAUUAAAUGAAUGGUUUAAUAAUGCAUUAUUUUUGGAUAUAAUUUCAAUAUGUGGGCGGUGUGACGGAAGAAGACGUAUGCAGUGCGCAUAAUACAUCAACACAAAAAAAACGCGGGCUUUAAAAAGAAGAAAGAAAAGGAUUGGACCUCAUGAGUGAAAAGCAAGAUUAAAAUCGACUGGACAAACAUUUGAAUCAUCAAAGUUAUGUUCAUCAUUAUAUCUAUAGAGAAUUGAAAGUCGAAUAAUUUAUGAUCCGAGUAACAUUGUGUGUUAGCAUAGCUGAAAGGUGUAGACAUAUUCUCGGAAAUAAAGAAAUAUUGGAUUACGAUUUAGAUAUGAAUAUUGGCUUCACAAAUUUCGUGGUUAGCUACAGCAUUGAAAAGUGAAUUGGUUCAGUACAAAUCCGAAUGUUCAGUACAAAUCUUACAAAAAGACAUGCGGUGUUGGCUCUUCCCAAAACUUCCAACAACGCAAGAAGCAACGAGAGGUUUCGUCGCAUAUUUUAAUGUUUACUUUAUUUUUGCAUUGUUAAGGGAGCUAAAUUAUAAUUUUUUGUUAUUUUUAUAAAAUGAACCUUACAGGCAUGUGGCUAUAUCUAAGGUCUUAAGAAGACAUCCCAAGUUCUUGCUUCCAAAAAUGCAAAAUUUUUACCAAUUUA
Long non-coding RNA from Xenia sp. Carnegie-2017, 1016 nucleotides. RefSeq lists it as uncharacterized. Lineage: Eukaryota; Metazoa; Cnidaria; Anthozoa; Malacalcyonacea; Xeniidae. The record is from RefSeq and is a predicted model, not a curated record. The transcript has 4 exons.